UAAAGAAGGUGAUUAGGGUAACUGC
This 25-nucleotide non-coding RNA is filed under the name Rattus norvegicus (Norway rat). The record is from RNAcentral. Lineage: Eukaryota; Metazoa; Chordata; Mammalia; Rodentia; Muridae.